AUCGGGGUUGCGGACAGUGUCUGGUGGGUAGUUUGACUGGGGCGGUCUCCUCCUAAAGAGUAACGGAGGAGCACGAAGGGCUGCUAAUCCUGGUCGGACAUCAGGAGGUUAGUGCAAUGGCAUAAGCUGGCUUGACUGCGAGCGUGACGGCGCGAGCAGGUGCGAAAGCAGGUCAUAGUGAUCCGGUGGUUCUGAAUGGAAGGGCCAUCGCUCAACGGAUAAAAGGUACUCCGGGGAUAACAGGCUGAUACCGCCCAAGAGUUCAUAUCGACGGCGGUGUUUGGCACCUCGAUGUCGGCUCAUCACAUCCUGGGGCUGAAGUAGGUCCCAAGGGUAUGGCUGUUCGCCAUUUAAAGUGGUACGCGAGCUGGGUUUAGAACGUCGUGAGACAGUUCGGUCCCUAUCUGCCGUGGGCGCUGGAGAAUUGAGGGGGGCUGCUCCUAGUACGAGAGGACCGGAGUGGACGCAUCACUGGUGUUCGGGUUGUCAUGCCAAUGGCAUUGCCCGGUAGCUAAAUGCGGAAGAGAUAAGUGCUGAAAGCAUCUAAGCACGAAACUUGCCCCGAGAUGAGUUCUCCCUGACUCCUUGAGAGUCCUGAAGGAACGUUGAAGACGACGACGUUGAUAGGCCGGGUGUGUAAGCGCAGCGAUGCGUUGAGCUAACCGGUACUAAUGAACCGUGAGGCUUAACCUUACAACGCCGAAG
This 705-nucleotide ribosomal RNA is filed under the name Proteus sp. HMSC10D02. RNAcentral describes it as "bacterial LSU rRNA". It matches the Rfam family "Bacterial large subunit ribosomal RNA", at positions 2238 to 2925 of the family's 2925-position model. The record is from RNAcentral. Lineage: Bacteria; Pseudomonadati; Pseudomonadota; Gammaproteobacteria; Enterobacterales; Morganellaceae.